GGUAUGGAUCUGAACAGAGAAUUCUCAACAGAGGAAUCUCAAAUGGCUGAGAAGCACUCGAAGAAAUGUUCAAUAUUCUUAGCCAUCAGGGAAAUGCAAGACAAAAUGACUUUGAGAUUCCAUCUUGUCUGUCAGAAUGGCUAAGAUAAAAAACUCUAGUGACAGUUCCUGUUGUGGAUGGUGUGGAGAAAGGGGAGCACUUCUCCAUUGCUGGUGGGAGUGCAAACCUGUACAGUCACUGUGGAAGUCAGUAUGAUGUUUCUCAGAAAAAUUGACCUACCUCAAGAUCCAGCUAUACCACUCCUGAGUAUAUACUCCAAGGAUGCUCUGUCCUACCACACGGACACUUGUUCAACUAUGUUCAUAGCAGCUUUAUUCGUAAUAGCAAUAAACUGGAAACAACCCAAAUCCCCCUCAACUGAAGAAUGGGUAAAAAAAAAAAAA
Molecule: long non-coding RNA, 444 nt
Filed under: Rattus norvegicus (Norway rat)
Lineage: Eukaryota; Metazoa; Chordata; Mammalia; Rodentia; Muridae
Description: long non-coding RNA NONRATT028585
Source: RNAcentral